Molecule: unclassified non-coding RNA, 389 nt
Filed under: soil metagenome
Description: partial contains 5.8S ribosomal RNA, internal transcribed spacer 2, and large subunit ribosomal RNA
Rfam family: 5.8S ribosomal RNA (bases 1-121)
Source: RNAcentral
GAUGAAGAACGUAGCGAAAUGCGAUACUUGGUGUGAAUUGCAGAAUCCCGCGAAUCAUCGAGUUUUUGAACGCAAGUUGCGCCCGAAGCCAUUCGGCCGAGGCACGUCUGCCUGGGUGUCACGCAUCGUUGCCCCCCCAAACUCCGGUUCGGGCAGGGCGGAAGUUGGCCUCCCGUGCGUGCCUGCGCGCGCGGUUAGCCCAAAAGCGAGUCCUCGGCGACGAGCGCCACGACAAUCGGUGGUUUUUUUACCCUCGUUCCUCGUCGUGCGUGCCCCGUCGCCCGAACGCGCUCUUGCGACCCUUACGCGUCGCCUCGGCGGCGCUCCCAACGCGACCCCAGGUCAGGCGGGACUACCCGCUGAGUUUAAGCAUAUCAAUAAGCGGAGGA